RNAcentral lists this ribosomal RNA (497 nucleotides) under uncultured bacterium. RNAcentral's name for it is "partial 16S ribosomal RNA". It matches the Rfam family "Bacterial small subunit ribosomal RNA", at positions 28 to 507 of the family's 1533-position model. The record is from RNAcentral.
GAUGAACGCUGGCGGCGUGCCUAAUACAUGCAAGUCGAGCGAACAGACGAGGAGCUUGCUCCUCUGACGUUAGCGGCGGACGGGUGAGUAACACGUGGAUAACCUACCUAUAAGACUGGGAUAACUUCGGGAAACCGGAGCUAAUACCGGAUAAUAUAUUGAACCGCAUGGUUCAAUAGUGAAAGACGGUUUUGCUGUCACUUAUAGAUGGAUCCGCGCCGCAUUAGCUAGUUGGUAAGGUAACGGCUUACCAAGGCAACGAUGCGUAGCCGACCUGAGAGGACGAGCAGCCACACUGGAACUGAGACACGGUCCAGACUCCUACGGGAGGCAGAAGUGGGGAAUAUUGGACAAUGGGCGCAAGCCUGAACCAGCGAUACAGAGUGAGUAAAGAAGGUCUUCGGGUUGUAAAGCCCUUUUAUGGGGAAAGAAAAGCAGCAGGUUAAUACCUCGCUGUUCUGACGGUACCCAAAGAAGAAGCACCGGCUAACUUCGUG